GACGAACGCUGGCGGCGUGCUUAACACAUGCAAGUCGAGCGGUAAGGCCCUUUCGGGGGUACACGGGCGGCGAACGGGUGAGUAACACGUGGGUGACCUGCCCUCAGCUCUGGGAUAAGCCUGGGAAACCGGGUCUAAUACUGGAUAUGACUCCAUGACGCAUGUUGUGGGGUGGAAAGCCUUGUGCGGCUGAGGAUGGGCCCGCGGCCUAUCAGCUUGUUGGUGGGGUGANGGCCUACCAAGGCGACGACGGGUAGCCGGCCUGAGAGGGCGACCGGCCACACUGGGACUGAGACACGGCCCAGACUCCUACGGGAGGCAGCAGUGGGGAGUCUUGCGCAAUGGGCGAAAGCCUGACGCAGCGACGCCGCGUGAGGGAUGACGGCCUCGGUUGUAACGUC
Molecule: ribosomal RNA, 401 nt
Filed under: uncultured bacterium
Lineage: Bacteria
Description: bacterial SSU rRNA
Rfam family: Bacterial small subunit ribosomal RNA
Source: RNAcentral